GGGCGGCCAUCCAUGCCCCUGGCGCCCUACAAGGCCGCUCCCUCCCUCCUCCUGAACCCUAGCCCCACUCAUUUUUUCCCUCGCCCUCUCCCUCGCAUCUCACUCUCAAUCCCGAGCUCGCCGUCGACACGCCAUCGCCUUUAACGCGCUCUUGAAGCACCCCGAGCCACGCGGGCUUGUCCACCAAGACCUCCACGGUUGGCUACUUCUCCUACGACCGUCGAAUCAAGCGGACUCCAUGGCGUCAUCGGGAUCGCCGUCUUCUUCUUCCUCCGGACGUCGAGCUCCGCCGCUUCGAUCCGUCUCCGCCAAGGCUUCCCCGAGCCUGCUGACUAGCCCGUUGUCCCCGCAGUGAGCUCCUCCUCCAUCCCCCCCUGUUUUCCCCCUCGAUUCGUUGCGGUAGCCUCCGUCCCCGAGCUCGCGCGUACGCGUACGUAUGUACGUGCGUACUGUUCCUGCUCCUGCGCUGUUGCUGCCGCUGCUAUGCGCGUGCGCCCGUAUGUUGUUGCCUUGCCGCGAUUGCUGUUGCUCACCAACCGUUGUGGCUGCUCGCUGAUUCGCUACUCUGCUCCCUGGCGCGACAGCGCUGCUUGCUGUUGCCGCCGCUGCUUGUUCUGCCUAGAACUGCUGCUACCCACUUCUGCUGCUCCCGAUGCUCAUAGUCGCUGCUGCCGCUUCUUAUUACUGCUGCCGCUGCUCGGCGACCCACGGCCUUCUGCGCGCACUCGACAUACUGUGCUUCGUCCAUGACCGGCCGGGCAUGCGUGCACAUAAGCAUCCAGCGUCCUGCACAUGCAUUGCUUGCUCCUGUGUGCGCCUACAGCCAGCCAACACUUUUGAUUAGUACCAGCAUUUGUUUAGUGGGAGGUAAACUUAGUAGUCCCAAUGACGAGUGGCCCCAUCACUUAAUUAAGCUAUAGGAACAAUUCUAUUUUAACAUGUGACAAUGACAUGCGGACCCACUUCUACUAUUCACUGGUUGACUAGUCCCUGUUGACUUGGUCAACUGGGGCCUCUGGCCCCAUCUGGCAACCACAUGUACAUAAUGCUGGGUACACUUCUGUGUACCCGUAGCAUUUACUGUUUAUUUUCGAAAUAAUAAUGAAUCCAGAAUUUUGAUAAAACUUAGAAAAUUAAUAGAAAAUAAUCCAUAUGUCAGAUGAAAAAGUUUUAUACAUGAAAGUUGCUCAGAACGACGAGACAAAUUCGAAUACGCAGUCCGUUCAUCCGCCACACAUCCCUAGCAUAGUGAACACACAACUUUCUCUCUCCGGUUCAUCUGCCCGAAAGUGUGAAACACCGGGAAUAUUUUCCCGGAUGUCCCCCCCACCUUCGCCGGUAUCGCCUAUCCCUAUGUUAGGUCACCCCUAGCACACCGUAUUGUCGCGUCUUGCUUUGUGUUACAUUUGAUUGCUCUGUUAUUUAUUGUGUUCCCCCUCCGUUACUCCUUUCCGGUAGACUCCGUGACUGUUGUCGAUGUCCGUGUGUUCGACUACAUCGAAGAUGACCCCUCCUUCUUGCCAGAGCAACCAGGCAAGCAAACCCCCCUUGAGCAUUUCGAUAUCGCCCAUUUCUUUCCAUCUCAUGCUUGCAUUAGGACUGCUACUGCUUUAUGUAUGAUCCUACUCUGAUGCAUAGCUUGUUUUUGUUACCUGCUUUCAUACCUUACCUGCUUAUCCUAAACUGCUUAGUAUAGGUUCGUUAGAGAUCCAUCAGAGGCCCCCACCUUGUCCUAGUUUCCCCGCUUUAUGUUCGAUGACUCGAUCAACGUGAUCGACGUCCAGGCCCCGACACCGCACAUCACUUUCCCCUUUUGUUGCUCGACUCUGCAGAGUUACCAUCGAGUGCCGGGGGUGGAACCUCUUACAUCACUCCUGAUGAGAUCUUUGUAGUGUAGUUAUCCGGUCGUGGUUAUCGAGGGUGAUUUCCUCCUUAACUACUUCCGAUACGGCUCUGUCGUGCAACCCCUCAAGUGUGAACCUCGAGGGUGGAUCCUCUUACGUUCACCUUGAUGAUUACAUCGAGUGGAAUUCACCGGGGGUGAUUCCUCGGGUUUUCCCCUUGGUGUUCGACACACAGUUACUAUGGUUACUAUGACUUUGCACUGAGCCAUGUUACUAAAGACGGGUCGGCUCUGAGGGGUACCCGCGCGAGCUUAAUAGCGAGUGAUGUGGAGUCGGGUUGACCUGGAAGGUGCCCGCGAGAUACUUACGAGGUGUGGCCGGGCAUUCUUAGCCCUUGACGCAAGUACUCGAGACGGGGCGACGGGGUCACAUCGAUCGUGAGUCUAUGCUCGUUACCGCGUGCUCCUAAUCCACUACGGUUUGGAUAUUUGAUCCGAGGGGCCUCUGGCCUGAUAGCACUAACCAUCAUGUGGGCAUAGUAUGGGCGUUCUGCGUCGUAUACAUCAGCCGAAGCUUAAUAGACGUCAGCGACUGAGCGGCGCGCGCCGGGUUGGACUGGUAAGCACCUGCCUUUUUGAAGGAGGUAGCUAGGUCUGCUCACCGGCCGCGUACGCAACGUGCAGGAGUUCCUGAGGAGAUGGCCCAUGACCCCUAGGGCAUAGGCUUAGUCCGGCGUGCUGAACUCUCCAUUAAGCCUAGGUCGGGUUGCGGCGUAUUGUUUGGCCGAGGCCGGGCAUGACGGAGGAAAGUGUGUCCGACCGGAGUUAAUCGAGCGUGGUGGGUAAGUUGGUGCACCCCUGCAGGGAAGGAAACAUCUAUCGAUAGCCUGUCCUACGGUAACAGACACUUGGAGUUGUAUCCCGAUCGAUACAACUAGAACUGGAUACUUGAAUGAGAAAUGGAUUGUAUGGCUCUGGGAUUGCUUUCUCGCAGGGAGUCGAGAAAGGAUCUCUGGCCGAGGUUGAUAACACUACUACUACUUUACAUUAUGUCGAUCUAUACUCUUCUAUAUGCUGCAAGAUGCUUGAAGAUGCUUGAAGAUGCUAGUCUUCGAUAGGCUAGGCUUUCCCCUUCUUUCUAGCAUUCUGCAGUUUAGUCCACAGAUACAGCCCAUUUCCUUUGAUACAGAUGCAUACUUAGUUUAGAUCUGAUGUAAGUCUUGCGAGUACUUUGGAUGAGUACUCACAGUUGCUUUGCUACCUCUUUUUCCCCAUACCUGUUUGUUGCGACCAGAUGACGGAUCCCAGGAGCCAGACGACACCACUGAUGACUACUGCUACCCCAAGGAUGCCUACUACUACGUGUCGGCCGCUGAUGACUUGGAGUAGUUAGGAGGCUCCCAGGCAGGAGGCCUAUCCUUUUCGAUCGAUGUUGCUUUUGUGCUAGCCUUCUUAAGGCAAACUUGUUUAAAUCAUGUAUGUACUCAGAUAUUGUUGCUUCCGCUGACUCUUGUGUAUUCGAGCCCUCGAGGCCCCUGGCUUGUAAUAUAAAGCUUGUAUUAUUUUAAAUUUGUGUCUAGAGUUGUGUUGUG
RNAcentral lists this long non-coding RNA (3435 nucleotides) under Triticum aestivum (bread wheat). RNAcentral's name for it is "long non-coding RNA (TAES_LNC026049)". Lineage: Eukaryota; Viridiplantae; Streptophyta; Magnoliopsida; Poales; Poaceae. The record is from RNAcentral.